GGUGAGAUAUGCAAGUGGCUAAAGCACGCAGACUGUAAAUCUGUUCACGUUAGUGUUCGCUGGUUCGAAUCCGGCUCUCACCACCA
This 86-nucleotide transfer RNA is filed under the name Opitutales bacterium. RNAcentral's name for it is "tRNA-Tyr". It matches the Rfam family "tRNA". From Rfam's summary of the family: Transfer RNA (tRNA) molecules are approximately 80 nucleotides in length. Their secondary structure includes four short double-helical elements and three loops (D, anti-codon, and T loops). The record is from RNAcentral. Lineage: Bacteria; Pseudomonadati; Verrucomicrobiota; Opitutia; Opitutales.